CCGCACGGUAAACGAUGGACACCCGCUGUCGGCGAUACACUGUCGGCGGCCAAGCGAAAGCGUUAAGUGUCCCACCUGGGGAGUACGCCGGCAACGGUGAAACUCAAAGGAAUUGACGGGGGCCCGCACAAGCGGAGGAACAUGUGGUUUAAUUCGAUGAUACGCGAGGAACCUUACCCGGGCUUGAAUUGCACUCGAAUUAUGGGGAAACCCAUAAGCCGCAAGGCGGGUGUGAAGGUGCUGCAUGGUUGU
Molecule: ribosomal RNA, 252 nt
Filed under: uncultured bacterium
Lineage: Bacteria
Description: partial 16S ribosomal RNA
Rfam family: Bacterial small subunit ribosomal RNA
Source: RNAcentral